UACGGAGGGAGCUAGCGUUAUUCGGAAUUACUGGGCGUAAAGCGCACGUAGGCGGCUUUGUAAGUUAGAGGUGAAAGCCUGGAGCUCAACUCCAGAAUUGCCUUUAAGACUGCAUCGCUUGAAUCCAGGAGAGGUGAGUGGAAUUCCGAGUGUAGAGGUGAAAUUCGUAGAUAUUCGGAAGAACACCAGUGGCGAAGGCGACUCGCUGGACAAGUAUUGACGCUGAGGUGCGAAAGCGUGGGGAGCAAACAGG
This 253-nucleotide ribosomal RNA is filed under the name uncultured bacterium. RNAcentral's name for it is "partial 16S ribosomal RNA". It matches the Rfam family "Bacterial small subunit ribosomal RNA", at positions 524 to 776 of the family's 1533-position model. The record is from RNAcentral.